AUCCGAGUAACGAGUUCCAAAUUGGACGAAACGCGCGUCCUGGAU
Molecule: non-coding RNA, 45 nt
Filed under: Schistosoma mattheei
Lineage: Eukaryota; Metazoa; Platyhelminthes; Trematoda; Strigeidida; Schistosomatidae
Source: RNAcentral